RNAcentral lists this non-coding RNA (52 nucleotides) under insect gut metagenome. RNAcentral describes it as "algC RNA". It matches the Rfam family "algC RNA". The record is from RNAcentral.
UGAAAUUGGCCCGGGUAUGGGUCGGGCCAACUGUUGCCUGAAUAAGGGGUAA